GAUCAUGGCUCAGGACGAACGCUGGCGGCGUGCCUAACACAUGCAAGUCGAACGGAGAAUUUUAUUUCGGUAGAAUUCUUUAGUGGCGAACGGGUGAGUAACGCGUAGGCAACCUGCCCUUUAGACGGGGACAACAUUCCGAAAGGAGUGCUAAUACCGGAUGUGAUCAUCUUGCCGCAUGGCAGGAUGAAGAAAGAUGGCCUCUACAAGUAAGCUAUCGCUAAAGGAUGGGCCUGCGU
RNAcentral lists this ribosomal RNA (239 nucleotides) under uncultured bacterium. Its description in RNAcentral is "partial 16S ribosomal RNA". It matches the Rfam family "Bacterial small subunit ribosomal RNA", at positions 15 to 236 of the family's 1533-position model. The record is from RNAcentral.